UCCACCUCCCCUCCCCCUCCGGUAACGUUCGGUAGGCAGACACUGGCAGCGUUAGAACAAGGUUGCCAUCUCGUUUUUAAAGAAGAGAAACUUUCUCUCUCUCUUUGAUUUGUGUAGUUUUCGCUUUAAAGAGUAAGGGGUACCAUUGCUUCCCUCUCUCUAGACUUCAGACCCCUCCAGCUUUGGGGCCCAUUCCCAGGGAAGACACCUGCUGUGGCGUCUCCCUCUCACCCCCCAAACCUAACUACCCUAGCUUUCCUGGAUCUAUGCAGGGAUGUCUUUCUCUCUGUAUAUGUUUAUUUGUACGGUUACCACAGCAUCGCCGGGGGUCCCGAAGGUCAGAAAACAGCUAUCGAUUAACCUAUUAGAAUAGUUGCCCAGAGAAAUAAAAGCAACGUAAAGUAAUAGGGAGCCCAUAACAAAGAAGCCCUAAGUGGCAGCCGGAGUUGUUAAACGACUUAGCAUACGAAAAACUCGGAAAUAAUCUGGGAACGGAGCCGGCGUCGGCCGCGGCCCGGAACGUAAACCAACUCUUCAAGCAACUAGCAACAGGGAGAGUAGAGGAGGCGGCGGCGAAGAUGUGGCCUGUGCACACGCAGUUGAGUUUCCACGGCAAGAAAAGUCAAUGCUGCUGCACCACUUGGUGACCUAAAGGCUCUGAGACGUGUACAACGCCGUCUAGAAGCCUCGCGAAACCAUCCAGAGCCGCGAGCUGACCGCUCACCACCCCAGGCAACAGAGGUCACAGUGGCAACUGCCCGAGCAACCCGAAGGAAGGUCGGAAAUGAAAAGAAAACGAAACACCAAAAUUUACAAAUUUGGAACUCCUUUUGAUGAACUUGCGUU
Long non-coding RNA from Jaculus jaculus (lesser Egyptian jerboa), 846 nucleotides. RefSeq lists it as uncharacterized. The transcript is spliced from 3 exons. The record is from RefSeq and is a predicted model, not a curated record. NCBI's taxonomy places the organism in Eukaryota, Metazoa, Chordata, Mammalia, Rodentia, Dipodidae.